GGAAGUGUAUGCUGUUUUGUAGGUGUUGAUCUUCUUCCUUGUAGGUGAAAUGGAAAUAUUGGUUUGCUAUGGAAGUGUGGAAAAAUGUAUAUAUGUUGGGUUUUUAGGUGUUGAAUUCUGUAGCUAGAAAUAUUAUUAGUUUGCAUCGAAGUGUGGAAGUGUAUGAUGCCCGAGACUUAGUUAUUUGGUUCCGUCCCAAAACGUCGAAAAAAUGGCCAACACGAUGGCCUAGAAAGGAACGACCCUGCUUAGAACGGUGUCAAAAGGUCUUGAAAGUUUGCAUCUAACUAAUGGGUGGCCUCAUUUUGAGUAGUAUUAAAGUUUUUUGCCCACAAAAGCCCAACGGUGAUGCCCGAGACUUAGUUAUUUGGUUUCGUCCUAAAACGUCAAAAAACGCGAUGGCCUAGAAAGGAACGACCCUGCUUAGAACGGUGUCAAAGGUCUCGAAAGUUCGCAUCUAACUAAUGGGUGGCCUCAUUUUGAGUAGUAUUAAAGUUUUUUGCCCACAAAAGCCCAACGGUGAUGCCCGAGACUUAGUUAUUUGGUUUCGUCCCAAAAUGUCAAAAAACGCGAUGGCCUAGAAAGGAAGGACCCAGCUUAGAACGGUGUCAAAGGUCUCCAAACUUCGCAUCUAACUACUGGGUGGCCUCAUUUUGAGUAAAAUUAAAGUUCUUUGCCCACAAAAGCCCAACGGUGAUGCCGAGACUUAGUUAUUUGGUUCCGUCCCAACACGUCGAAAAAAGGGCCAACACUAUGGCCUAGAAAGGAACGACUCUGCUUACAACGGUGUCAAAGUUCUCGAAAGUUCGCAUCUAACUAAUGGGUGGCCUCAUUUUGAGUAGUAUUAAAGUUUUUUUCCCACAAAAGCCGAACGGUGAUGCUCGAGAUUCAGUUUUUUGGUUCAGUCCCAAAACGCCAAAAAAAUGGCCAAUGCGAUGGCCUAGAAACGAACGACCCAGCUUAGAACUGUUGGAAUUUUUUGUCCUAAAACUCGUAGUUUGUAAUCAUAUUCUGUUCAAUAAAGUUGUUAUUGAGAAAUUGAAUAUUGUAAUCUUAAAUCCAAUAAAUCAAGUCCCAAGGCUAUUUUUUUAGUAAACUUGAACUUUAUGUGUAAACAUAAACAUGGAUCAAGUUCGAGUAUAUAGCCUAAAUAGUCUAUAGUAUAUGAAUAAUGGUUGGGCGCCUUAUUUAGAGAAACUAUGGAUGCGACCCACUUUGUAGUAAGUACAAACGAGGUGAUCCUGAACGUUCAUGUAGAGACAUGAAAGUGGGGUCAUCCUAUGUAAAGUGUUUACAUAAGACUGAACUAUGAAUUAGUCUUUUUUUACUUUAUAAUACCGUUUACUGUUUAAAAUUGACUAUCUCGAUUAUUGAUGACCUAGGUAACUUAAUCUUAAUCUUGAGUUAACUAUGAACUCCUGUUCACACGAGAUUAUCCUUAGAUCUGCAUAGGUGAGGGCAGCUCAUCAGUGUUGGCCCAAUAAGCCUCCCAUUUUAGGGGUAAGAUCGGGUGAAUAGCUGGGAACAUAGGGCACAAGACGGAAUUCACUCCUACCCGCUUUAGGGUUAGUAGAUAGGUUGUUUUCUUAAGCACUGAAUCCAAGUCUUGAACAAGGGCCCCACCCUCUCAUUGGCCCGAGAGGGAUUAAGUUUAUAGGUUGGAUCUUAAACCAAUUGUUCAAUAGUGGAUUAAUGGAACUUAAGGAGCAAGAUGUAAUCUUGGGGGUAAAACGGUAUUUUGACCUAGCCAAGGUUACGAGCAACAUGUGAAGGAUUAACUUACUGAUUAUGGUUUUAUCAAAUGGACAUAAAUAUAUAUAUAGUGAGGGGAGUACAACUACGGGACUUUAGUGGAAUGACUCGUUAGUUAACGAAUGUUUAUUAACUCGAUCUAAAAGAGUUUAGCUAGUUAAUCUUGAAUCGUUGGAGCCCAUGAUCUAUAGGUCCAUUAGGUUCCCCUGCUAGCUCAUAUGGAUUAAACUUAGAACAGUAUGAUGAAAUAAGUCGAAUUGUUUGAAUUGGGAGAAGAAAGAGAAAUCGACAAAUAUAGUGAUACAAUUGUCGAUCUUCUAAUUAGAAAUAGAGCUUUAUGUUUUAAAUACUAUAAGUAUGAAUGUGGAUUCAUACUAAGAAGCUCGGAAUUGAUGGAAUUGGUCAAAAUUGUAAAAAGUCAAAAUUUUGACUUUGAAAAGUCAAA
Molecule: long non-coding RNA, 2197 nt
Filed under: Cucumis sativus (cucumber)
Lineage: Eukaryota; Viridiplantae; Streptophyta; Magnoliopsida; Cucurbitales; Cucurbitaceae
Description: long non-coding RNA (CSAT_LNC001506)
Source: RNAcentral